UUCUCCUGUGGAUCCAGACGGAGCUGGGCCCUGCCAACACCUUGAUUUUGGACUUCCAGCCUCCAGAACGGUGAGAAAACAAAUUCUUGUUGUUUUAAGCCACCCAGUGUGUGGUGCUUUGGUAUGGCAGCCCUAGGGA
This 139-nucleotide microRNA precursor is filed under the name Chlorocebus sabaeus (green monkey). RNAcentral's name for it is "miRNA (ENSCSAG00000022589.1)". Lineage: Eukaryota; Metazoa; Chordata; Mammalia; Primates; Cercopithecidae. The record is from RNAcentral.